RNAcentral lists this ribosomal RNA (273 nucleotides) under uncultured bacterium. RNAcentral's name for it is "partial 16S ribosomal RNA". It matches the Rfam family "Bacterial small subunit ribosomal RNA", at positions 335 to 612 of the family's 1533-position model. The record is from RNAcentral.
ACUCCUAGGGAGGCAGCAGUAAGGAAUAUUGCGCAAUGGGCGAAAGCCUGACGCAGCGACGCCGCGUGGGGAUGAAGGUCUUCGGAUUGUAAACCCUUCGUCAGGGAAGGAUGGGCGGGCAAGCCGCUCGGACGGUACCUGCAGAAGCAGCCACGGCUAACUUCGUGCCAGGCAGCCGCGGUAAUACGAAGGUGGCAAGCGUUGUUCGGAUUUACUGGGCGUACAGGGAGCGUAGGCGGUUAGGUAAGCCCUUCGUGAAAUCUCCGGGCCUAA